UGGCUGCAUUCACAGCAUUGUAAGAUUUACUUUCCUGGAUGAUUUGAGAAUGCAUCAAGAUGUUAUUAUAAAAACCUGCGCUUGGACGUUGCGCAGGUUUUUUAUAAAUCAGGGCAGGUAAGGAGGAUAAGACACAGGAAGAGGUCUCCAAGCUUAGCCACGCCGGGGCAUUGUUCAUCUCUCAACUUAUAUCCAGAAAUAAGGCUAAACAGUUCAAGUAUUGAGAGCACCGUAGGAAUUGAAGAUGCUGGUUUGAGAUAUAAAGAAGCAAAUCAUCUGCAUAUAAGGAGACCCUUUGUUCCAUACCAUUUCUAGUAACCCUGGUGAUACAUCGGUUAGAUCUGGCGAUAUGGCCAAAGGCUCAAUGGCAAUUGCAAAAUGCAAUGGUACUAUGGGACAGCCCUGCCUAGUCCCUCUGAAAAGAGGAAAAAAGUCCGAAUAUGUGCCAUUUGUUUUAACAGCGGCAAGCAGGGAAGCAUAAAGAAGCUUCAACCAUGCGAUGAUUAUUUUACCAAAGUCAAAAUUUUCCAAAACAUAAAAAAGGUAUCCCCACUCGACUCUGUCAAAAGCUUACUCAGCAUCUAAACUGAUCACAAACUCAGGGCUGUUGGAGUCUGAAGGAUUGUAAAGAACAUUAAACAAACGUCUAAGAUUAGAGAAGGCAUAUCUCCCUUUAAUAAAUCCUGUUUGAUCCAGACUAAUUACAGAUGGCAAGAGUGCUUCCACACGCAUCGCUAAAAGUUAGGCAAGGAUUUUAUAGUCCACAUUUAGCAAAGAAAUGGGACAGUAUGAGCCACAUUGUAAUGGAUCCUUAUCCUUUUUUAAGAUCAAGGAUAUAGAUGCCUGUAGUAGAGAUGGUGGGAGGGAUCUAACUUCAAAUGCGGGGCCAGUUUAGGCAUAAAUUUACGAUAGAACUCAACGGGAAACCCGUCCUGUCUGGGACACUUAGAACACUGUAAUUUGUUGAUAGCUGAUGUAGCCGGAUGGGCUACUGGCCUUUCUUUUUCUUUCUCCCUCCCAUCCGUUUGGCAAAAAGCAGUAGUCAAUGCUGGCAAACCGCGACGGAUUGAUCAGCAAGCGAGUAGAUCAUAUGACAGCUACAGCGCGGAAGUUUCUGUUUUAUUCCGGCGUUGCGGAGAGAGGUGCUCGAGUUAUCUCCACCAGUGAGAGUAUAGCGCCUCCGGUCCUGGGGGUUUGAUUGCUGCCUUCACCUCUCCGUGGCAAAUCGCCCAACCUUAAUUGGAGAAUCAAGACGCCUGUUUGAGGGCUCCUCCUCGCUGGAGCUGCUGUCUUGUUUUGUUGUGAAACUGUUUUUAUUAAGUGGGCUUACCUUUUUCUGGUUCUAUUCUAUUUUAUUCUGGAUUGUUGCUUGUACCCACUCACUUUUACUUAUUUUUCUUAAAUAUAUAUUUCCUAGGGGUGAAAUUCCCCUAGGUGGCGUUGUCGUUUAUUAGUUUUUAUCUAACCCCGCCGACCACUUGGUCACACUUGCAGGAUAUCUUCUACAGUUAUUGGCUCCUCCAGCCAAAGACUAUGUGUUUGAUCAAUUGAUGGGAGUUUAAGAUGAUUGAAAAAGGAGUCCAAAGAUUCAGUGCUAAAUUCACAUUCAGAAGCAUAAAGAGAUGAAUAAAAGUCUCGAAAUUGGUUAUUCAUUAUUUUAGGAUCCAUAGAAACAACAUCAUUGAUGUCUUAAUCCGAGGAAUGAAAUGUGCAGCUGCUGCACUACGAAGCUGAUGGGGAAAGCAGUUUACCGGCCUUAUCCCCAUACUUGUACUGGGAGUGCUGACACUUCAACGACAUCUCUUCAGCCCGACCAGAGGACAAGUGAUCAAACUCAGUCUGCAAGGACAACCUGUCGUUAUAGACCUCUGGUGACCUCUUGAGUUUGAUUGCCAACCAGGCUUAUUUGAGAAUCGAUCCAGCGGACCGAGCCAACAAUUAAAAUCCCCACCAAGGACCAAAUAGUGGGAAGACAAGAAUAGUUUUCACCCCAAUUGGAGCAUAGAUUUUGGCAAAAAUGAAUUUAGUGUUCAAAAUACUCCCACUCACAAUAAUAAAUCUACCAUUCUGGUCUGCUAUAACAUUAGAGGAAACAAUGGAACUGAUUUGUGUAUUAAAAUAGCAGCACGACGGGCUUUGGAUUUGAAUGAAGAGUGAUACAGGCCUACCCACCCCUUACUAAGUCUAAAAUGAUCUGAAAUUUUUAGGUGUGCUUCUCGUAAAAACACAAUCUGGGUGCCCAAAAAUUGCAAUGAUGGAGAACCUUGCUCCUUUUAAUAGGCUGGUUCAGACCUUUAAAAUUCCAGCUGCAAAACUUAAACGAGUGACCUGCUUGUUGGUUAUUAAUAUUUAGUUGCAAUACCAUGUUAGAACUAAGAUUAAAAUAAAACAAAAGCUGACCGGUGAAAAGCACCUAAAGACCAAAAUAAGUGUACAGAACAGUACAACAUAAAAAAACAAAGAAAACACCCAAACUUCCCCCUAAAUGCUGAAGCAUCUUCCCAAACAAGAUGCGCGCACCCCCCUCCAAAUAAACCCCUGUGCACUUCCUCCCAACCAUCCGAAGUCCCAGUUGAGUUCAAGCUCCUUACAAUACAAGGCAGAGACAAAUCAAGGAUUGUAUUAAAAUAUAUUAGAACAAGACACAUCCUAUAAAUCAAGUUUACCUCAAAUAAACACAUGUAUGUCACAAAAAAAGAAUCACAAAAUUAACCAUAUCAGCCUAAAGGGCUAAGGAACUUAUGUGUCUUGAGAGGCAGGGCCCCCCAGGAUCUUAUUGGCAAAGUCUGUGGCAGUAAACUUACGUACAACUCCAUCUGGAAGUGUCACCCUCAGUUCUGCAGGAUAGAACAGGCCGAACUUGAUCCUAGGACAAGAGUGCAGAAGGCGCUUGACACUAGUAAACUGUAAAUGUUUUUUAGCCACUGCAGAAGUGAAGUCUGGAAAAAUUGAGAUCUUUCUGCCCCGGUAAAGUAGAGGAGAGUUUGCCCCUGCAUGAUGUAGCAGCUGUUCCUUGACAUGGAAGUAGUGGACUCUAAUGAGCAGUGGGCGAGGAGGCGCUCCAUCUCUGGGCUUUGGUCCAAGGGAUCUGUGAACCUGAUCCAGCAGAGGUGCUUCUUUCAGUUUCAGAAGGUCUUGCAAAAGAUGUGAAAUAAACUCCCUAGGGUUAGAUGUCUCCGAACUCUCGGGGACACCAAUAAGACGAAUAUUAUUGCGCCUUGCGCCUUCUAAAUCCUCACAUUUGGCUUGCAGUUGUCUGACCUCCUCCUUUAGGACACUUACAGCAGAUUGAGGAGAAGUCAGGUCGUCACUGCAAGUUGUAGCUGAAAGCUCCAAAUCUUUAAUGGUGGUCCCUUGAGCAUUAACGGUGGCCUGUAAGGUGGUUAUUGCAGCUUUAAACUCAGCCUUCACAGCUGAUAUUUCCGACCGCAGUGUAUGAGUAACUGUAUCAAUCUUGCAGUCAAGCUUGUCGCAGAUGUCCCGUUUCAAAACCUCCAAUGCUCUGGUAAACGUGACUUCACUGAACAGUGCACCCGCACCCUGCUCGUAGCUGCCCUCCGUGAUAGCCGUGUCCCAUUGAGAGCCAUGUCCCAGCUCCGGGCUCCGUGAACCACCAGCAUCAGCCUGGCCUCAUUUUCUCCCUUGCUCCCUUUUAUCUCCCAUUGUGCAAAGAAGGCAAAUGGUGGGACUUUUAGUGAAAGAACUUGAUUGUCCUCACGCGGCCCAGCCGUAGUCCUCACUGAUGUUAGAAUGCAAGGGAAGCUGUCGCUCGUGGAGUCAUAUGUAAGGGAAAAGGCCAUGAAGAUAGCAAAACUGGACACUACUGCUGCAGCUACCACAGCCAACCAGGAAGGAAACCAAGAGGCCUCGGAUGCAGCCUUUCUCAGAAGUUGUCAAAAGUAGGUUUCCUGACCUCAAGAAGUAAAAAGCAGGCGACCAACAGCAAAAAGGGUUACUUAGAACACACAAGCCUGAUAUAAAGAGCGAGAAUGUGUAUUAAAAUAACAUUUUUGUCAAUGCUUUGCAGAGCCCCGGGAAACACGUCUUCACACCAUUGUGUCCAACAGUGCCCCUCAAAAUCAGCAACUCUUUGAUGCUGGACUUGCACAUCUCACUUUAAGCCCUGCAAUGUCCAUACUGUUUAACUGGAUACACGCCUUAGAUACACUG
Oreochromis niloticus (Nile tilapia) is the source of this 4170-nucleotide long non-coding RNA. RefSeq lists it as uncharacterized. The record is from RefSeq and is a predicted model, not a curated record. The transcript has 3 exons. NCBI's taxonomy places the organism in Eukaryota, Metazoa, Chordata, Actinopteri, Cichliformes, Cichlidae.